Molecule: long non-coding RNA, 372 nt
Organism: Halichondria panicea
Lineage: Eukaryota; Metazoa; Porifera; Demospongiae; Suberitida; Halichondriidae
Exons: 3
Source: RefSeq, a predicted model, not a curated record
UGUCCCCCAUUGUCCGUUAUAAAACAACUCCAGUCGACCAUCGGGACCUAACCCAGUGGUGCCAGAACUAUUCACAAGUCUCAAAUCUUCAUCUAAAAACGAUCACAAUUAUGAAUUCCAAUAGAAUUGUGUGGGCAGUCAUCUAGUCUAGUUUCAGAUCCAAAGCAACCAAGCUCGUCCAACCAUAUCGGUGUGGAUGCUGACACUGUUAGGGCACUAUCGUAAAAAUAUCGGAUACGUACCUUCAUGUACGGCCACGAAGACUUCGUCCUGUUGUUCCUCGUUAAUCAUUCAAGUGACCACAAAAUCAACCGCUAGAGGGAAGUUGAAUCUAAUCAUUCUCAGCUGUUCCACAGCAGUGUAGUAGUCAAC